RNAcentral lists this ribosomal RNA (572 nucleotides) under Corollospora marina. RNAcentral's name for it is "eukaryotic LSU rRNA". It matches the Rfam family "Eukaryotic large subunit ribosomal RNA", at positions 129 to 729 of the family's 3401-position model. Lineage: Eukaryota; Fungi; Ascomycota; Sordariomycetes; Microascales; Halosphaeriaceae. The record is from RNAcentral.
UUAGCGGGUCCGAGUUGUAAUUUGCAGAGGAUGCUUUUGGCGAGGCGCCUUCCGAGUUCCCUGGAACGGGACGCCGGAGAGGGUGAGAGCCCCGUACGGUCGGUCGCCUAGCCUCUGUAAAGCUCCUUCGACGAGUCGAGUAGUUUGGGAAUGCUGCUCUAAACGGGAGGUAAACCCCUUCUAAAGCUAAAUACCGGCCAGAGACCGAUAGCGCACAAGUAGAGUGAUCGAAAGAUGAAAAACACUUUGAAAAGAGAGUCAAACAGCACGUGAAAUUGUUGAAAGGGAAGCGCUUGUGGCCAGACCUGGGCCCGGCAGCUCAACCGUCCCUCGUGGGCGGUGCACUCUGCCGGGUGCAGGCCAGCAUCAGCUCGUGGCGGGGGAGAAAGGCGGCGGGAACGUGGCUCUUCGGAGUGUUAUAGCCCGCCCUACGCCCCACCGCGGGCUGAGGUUCGCCUCCGCAAGGAUGCUGGCGUAAUGGCCAUCAGCGACCCGUCUUGAAACACGGACCAAGGAGCGGUCCUAACAUGCGAGUGNGCGNNGCCAAAACCCCUACGCGGAAUGAAAGUGAA